GCAAGUCGAGCGCACCUUCGGGUGAGCGGCGGACGGGUGAGUAACAUGUAGGUAUCUGCCCUUUGGCCUGGAAUAACACGAGGAAACUUGUGCUAAUACCGGAUAAGUCUUUACGGAGAAAGCUUUAUGCACCAUUGGAUGAGCCUGCACUUGAUUAGUUUGUUGGUGGGGUAAUGGCCUACCAAGACUGUGAUCAAUAGCUGAUUUGAGAGGAUGAUC
RNAcentral lists this ribosomal RNA (219 nucleotides) under uncultured bacterium. RNAcentral describes it as "partial 16S ribosomal RNA". It matches the Rfam family "Bacterial small subunit ribosomal RNA", at positions 57 to 305 of the family's 1533-position model. The record is from RNAcentral.